Molecule: ribosomal RNA, 235 nt
Filed under: uncultured bacterium
Lineage: Bacteria
Description: partial 16S ribosomal RNA
Rfam family: Bacterial small subunit ribosomal RNA
Source: RNAcentral
UGUAGAGAAUCUGCCCUGUACUGGGGGACAACAGAGGGAAACUUCUGCUAAUACCCCAUAUGAGCGUACCUGCGAUGGUAUUCUUGAAAGUUCCGGCGGUACAGGAUGAGUCUGCAUCUGAUUAGCUAGUUGGUGGUGUAAUGGACUACCAAGGCGACGAUCAGUAGCUGGUUUGAGAGGAUGAUCAGCCACAAUGGGACUGAGACACGGCCCAUACNCCUACGGGAGGCAGCAG